UACGAAGGGGGCUAGCGUUGCUCGGAAUCACUGGGCGUAAAGGGUGCGUAGGCGGGUCUUUAAGUCAGGGGUGAAAUCCUGGAGCUCAACUCCAGAACUGCCUUUGAUACUGAGGAUCUUGAGUUCGGGAGAGGUGAGUGGAACUGCGAGUGUAGAGGUGAAAUUCGUAGAUAUUCGCAAGAACACCAGUGGCGAAGGCGGCUCACUGGCCCGGUACUGACGCUGAGGUGCGAAAGCGUGGGGAGCGAACGGGG
RNAcentral lists this ribosomal RNA (254 nucleotides) under uncultured bacterium. Its description in RNAcentral is "partial 16S ribosomal RNA". It matches the Rfam family "Bacterial small subunit ribosomal RNA", at positions 524 to 777 of the family's 1533-position model. The record is from RNAcentral.